RNAcentral lists this ribosomal RNA (403 nucleotides) under uncultured bacterium. RNAcentral describes it as "bacterial SSU rRNA". It matches the Rfam family "Bacterial small subunit ribosomal RNA", at positions 28 to 429 of the family's 1533-position model. The record is from RNAcentral.
GACGAACGCUGGCGGCGUGCUUAACACAUGCAAGUGGAGCGACGAACCAGGCUUGCCUGGGGCAAAGCCGCGAACGGGUGAGUAACACGUGGGUAAUCUGCCCCGAUGACCGGGACAACCCGAGGAAACUCGGGCUAAUACCGGAUGUGGUGCACACACAUAUGUGUGUUUACCAAAGGAAGCUUCGGCCUCCGCAUCGGGAGGGGCCCGCGGCCCAUUAGCUUGUUGGUGGGGCAUGGCCUACCAAGGCGACGAUGGGUAGCUGGUCUGAGAGGACGAUCAGCCACACUGGGACUGAGACACGGCCCAGACUCCUACGGGAGGCAGCAGUGGGGAAUCUUGCGCAAUGCGCGAAAGCGUGACGCAGCAACGCCGCGUGAGGGAAGAAGGCCUCGGUUGUAAC